Molecule: ribosomal RNA, 247 nt
Filed under: uncultured Pseudomonas sp.
Lineage: Bacteria; Pseudomonadati; Pseudomonadota; Gammaproteobacteria; Pseudomonadales; Pseudomonadaceae
Description: partial 16S ribosomal RNA
Rfam family: Bacterial small subunit ribosomal RNA
Source: RNAcentral
AGAGGGUGCAAGCGUUAAUCGGAAUUACUGGGCGUAAAGCGCGCGUAGGUGGUUAGUUAAGUUGGAUGUGAAAUCCCCGGGCUCAACCUGGGAACUGCAUUCAAAACUGACUGACUAGAGUAUGGUAGAGGGUGGUGGAAUUUCCUGUGUAGCGGUGAAAUGCGUAGAUAUAGGAAGGAACACCAGUGGCGAAGGCGACCACCUGGACUGAUACUGACACUGAGGUGCGAAAGCGUGGGGAGCAAAC